GAUUUUAGUGGCGAACGGGUGCGUAACACGUGAGAAUCUGCCUUUAGGAAAAGGAUAACUACUAGAAAUAGUAACUAAUACUUUAUAUGCCUUAGGGUGAAAGAAGCAAUUCGCCUAAAGAGGAGCUCGCGUCUGAUUAGCUAGUUGGUAGGGUAAGAGCCUACCAAGGCGACGAUCAGUAGCUGGUUUGAGAGGAUGAUCAGCCACAUUGGAACUGAGACACGGUCCAGACUCCUACGGGAGGCAGCAGUAAGGAAUAUUCUACAAUGGGCGAAAGCCUGAUAGAGCAAUACCGCGUGAGGGACGAAUGCCUACGGGUUGUAAACCUCUUUUCUCAAGGAGGAAGAACUGACGUUACUUGAGGAAUAAGCAUCGGCUAACCCUGUGCCAGCAGCCGCGGUAAUACAGGGGAUGCAAGUUUUAUUCGGAAUUAUUGGGCGUAAAGCGUCUGCAGGUUGACAUAAAAGUCUUUUGUUAAAUAUCAGAGCUCAACUCGGAAUCUGCAAAAGAUACUAUAUGUCUUGAGUAUGGUAGAGGUAAGGGGAAUUUCCAGUGGAGCGGUGAAAUGCGUAGAUAUUGGAAAGAACACCGAUAGCGAAGGCACCUUACUGGGCCAUUACUGACACUCAGAGACGAAAGCUAGGGGAGCAAACGGGAUUAGAUACCCCGGUAGUCCUAGCCGUAAACGAUGGAUACUAGAUGUUGUAUACUUUAUUGUAAACAGUGUCGUAGCUAACGCG
Molecule: ribosomal RNA, 740 nt
Filed under: eukaryote SCGC AAA074-N15
Lineage: Eukaryota
Description: bacterial SSU rRNA
Rfam family: Bacterial small subunit ribosomal RNA
Source: RNAcentral